This 72-nucleotide transfer RNA is filed under the name Caldifarciminota bacterium JGI_Cruoil_03_44_89. Its description in RNAcentral is "tRNA-Thr". It matches the Rfam family "tRNA". From Rfam's summary of the family: Transfer RNA (tRNA) molecules are approximately 80 nucleotides in length. Their secondary structure includes four short double-helical elements and three loops (D, anti-codon, and T loops). The record is from RNAcentral. Lineage: Bacteria; Pseudomonadati; Caldifarciminota.
GCCACCGUAGCUCAGAGGCAGAGCGGCUGAUUUGUAAUCAGUUGGUCGGGGGUUCGAUUCCCUCCGGUGGCU